RNAcentral lists this non-coding RNA (130 nucleotides) under Bibersteinia trehalosi. RNAcentral describes it as "MoCo sequence". It matches the Rfam family "Molybdenum/Tungsten riboswitch aptamer (Moco RNA motif)". The record is from RNAcentral. Lineage: Bacteria; Pseudomonadati; Pseudomonadota; Gammaproteobacteria; Pasteurellales; Pasteurellaceae.
CCGUAAUUUUGACCCCGAGCCUGUUUGCCUAAGUCAUUGAUAUGGCGGCAGUGCCUGCGAAAUUCGCACAAGGUAUCGCUGGAAACGGCUAUGCCUCUCGUAUUUAGAAAGGUGUUCAAUGCAAACUAUU